Sus scrofa (pig) is the source of this 511-nucleotide non-coding RNA. Lineage: Eukaryota; Metazoa; Chordata; Mammalia; Artiodactyla; Suidae. The record is from RefSeq and is a predicted model, not a curated record.
UUCGGAUCAGGAAGUAUUUGAGGCAGUCUUAAAGAUGUCUGCAUCCUAGUGGUAUUUGGCACUGAUACGGCCACUUCAUCAGCUCCACAGGCUCAGGGUGUAUUACAUCACCAGGCAAGACAGUUUCUGGAGGCAGCUGCCUUUCUCCCUAGUGUGUAUGGCCAGUAGGGAUUUACCUGCCCUCGGCAUUGGAAAAAAUGUGCCAAAAACUCCAGUAGCCCCUGAUGGCCCAUCCUGACCUCCAUUCCUGUACUCAUUCCCUGUCAGUGCAUCCACAUUCAGUGAUAUAUAAGCCUGGAUUCACCUGAACAAUUGCACUGGAGUCCCUCAGCAAGAAGGUAUUUCUUCAGCCUGACGUUACAAGGAAGCCGAAAGCUGCUCUGAUGGGUGCUCAGAAUGUCCUUGUGUCUGAGGAUGGAUGGGCCUCCCCCUGUCUUUCAAGGAAGUUACUUUGUUCCAGUUGUCAAUGGUCACUGAUGUCAUGAAGAGCCAGGGAAGAGGUACAAGGAGG